Molecule: ribosomal RNA, 391 nt
Filed under: uncultured bacterium
Lineage: Bacteria
Description: bacterial SSU rRNA
Rfam family: Bacterial small subunit ribosomal RNA
Source: RNAcentral
UGGGGAAUAUUGCACAAUGGGCGCAAGCCUGAUGCAGCAAUGCCGCGUGAGUGAAGACGGCCUUAGGGUUGUAAAACUCUUUCGCUAGGGAAGAUAAUGACGGUACCUAGUAAAGAAGUCCCGGCUAACUCCGUGCCAGCAGCCGCGGUAAUACGGAGGGGAACUAGCGUUGUUCGGAAUUACUGGGCGUAAAGCGCACGUAGGCGGAUCGGUCAGUCAGUGGUGAAAGCCCCGGGCUCAACCUGGGAAUUGCCUCUGAUACUGCCGAUCUAGAGUCCGGGAGAGGGUAGUGGAAUUCCCAGUGUAGAGGUGAAAUUCGUAGAUAUUGGGAAGAACACCAGUGGCGAAGGCGGCUACCUGGACCGGUACUGACGCUGAGGCGCGAAAGCGU